CACGCUGUAAACGAUGAUCACUAGGUGUAGCGGGUACUCAUUCCUGCUGUGCCGCAGCUAACGCGUUAAGUGAUCCGCCUGGGGAUUACGGUCGCAAGACUAAAACUCAAAGGAAUUGAC
This 120-nucleotide ribosomal RNA is filed under the name uncultured bacterium. RNAcentral's name for it is "partial 16S ribosomal RNA". It matches the Rfam family "Bacterial small subunit ribosomal RNA", at positions 796 to 914 of the family's 1533-position model. The record is from RNAcentral.